ACUGUACAGUCUUCCUGCUCCACGCCAGGGAUUCCUUCUGGUUGACUUGCCUUGCAGGGGGUUUUAAGAACGCUAGGAAAGACCAGUCACAGGAAUUCACCCAUAUUGGCCUGUGGAAGAA
Long non-coding RNA from Dipodomys ordii (Ord's kangaroo rat), 121 nucleotides. RefSeq lists it as uncharacterized. The record is from RefSeq and is a predicted model, not a curated record. Lineage: Eukaryota; Metazoa; Chordata; Mammalia; Rodentia; Heteromyidae. The transcript is spliced from 2 exons.